UGGGGAAUAUUGGACAAUGGGCGAAAGCCUGAUCCAGCAAUGCCGCGUGUGUGAAGAAGGUCUUCGGAAUUGUAAAGCACUUUCGACGGGGACGAUGAUGACGGUACCCGUAGAAGAAGCCCCGGCUAACUUCGUGCUAG
RNAcentral lists this ribosomal RNA (140 nucleotides) under uncultured bacterium. Its description in RNAcentral is "partial 16S ribosomal RNA". It matches the Rfam family "Bacterial small subunit ribosomal RNA", at positions 355 to 511 of the family's 1533-position model. The record is from RNAcentral.